AGAGUUUGAUCAUGGCUCAGAGCGAACGCUGGCGGCAGGCUUAACACAUGCAAGUCGAGCGGGCGUAGCAAUACGUCAGCGGCAGACGGGUGAGUAACGCGUGGGAACAUACCUUUUGGUUCGGAACAACACAGGGAAACUUGUGCUAAUACCGGAUAAGCCCUUACGGGGAAAGAUUUAUCGCCGAAAGAUUGGCCCGCGUCUGAUUAGCUAGUUGGUGAGGUAACGGCUCACCAAGGCGACGAUCAGUAGCUGGUCUGAGAGGAUGAUCAGCCACAUUGGGACUGAGACACGGCCCAAACUCCUACGGGAGGCAGCAGUGGGGAAUAUUGGACAAUGGGCGCAAGCCUGAUCCAGCCAUGCCGCGUGAGUGAUGAAGGCCCUAGGGUUGUAAAGCUCUUUUGUGCGGGAAGAUAAUGACGGUACCGCAAGAAUAAGCCCCGGCUAACUUCGUGCCAGCAGCCGCGGUAAUACGAAGGGGGCUAGCGUUGCUCGGAAUCACUGGGCGUAAAGGGUGCGUAGGCGGGUCUUUAAGUCAGGGGUGAAAUCCUGGAGCUCAACUCCAGAACUGCCUUUGAUACUGAAGAUCUUGAGUUCGGGAGAGGUGAGUGGAACUGCGAGUGUAGAGGUGGAAUUCGUAGAUAUUCGCAAGAACACCAGUGGCGAAGGCGGCUCACUGGCCCGAUACUGACGCUGAGGCACGAAAGCGUGGGGAGCGAACAGGAUUAGAUACCCUAGUAGUCC
This 744-nucleotide ribosomal RNA is filed under the name uncultured bacterium. RNAcentral describes it as "bacterial SSU rRNA". It matches the Rfam family "Bacterial small subunit ribosomal RNA", at positions 8 to 796 of the family's 1533-position model. The record is from RNAcentral.